Molecule: small nuclear RNA, 66 nt
Filed under: Sorex araneus (European shrew)
Lineage: Eukaryota; Metazoa; Chordata; Mammalia; Eulipotyphla; Soricidae
Source: RNAcentral
GUGCUUGCUUUGGCAGCACAUAUACUAAAAUUGGAACGAUACAGAGAUUAGCAUGGCCCCUGUGCA